GAUGAACGCUGGCGGCGUGCUUAACACAUGCAAGUCGAACGGGAUCCAAGGGGUGCUUGCACUUUUUGGUGAGAGUGGCGAACGGGUGAGUAACACGUGAGUAACCUGUCCUUUUCUUUGGGAUAAGCAUUCGAAAGGGUGUUUAAUACCUUAUGUUCUGUCUGCCUCGCAUGGGGUGGGUGGGAAAGGCUUUGGCCGGAUUUGGGUGGGCUCGCGGUCUAUCAGCUCGUUGGUGGGGUGAUGGCUUACCAAGGCUUUGACGGGUAGCCGGCCUGAGAGGGUGGUCGGUCACAUUGGGACUGAGAUACGGCCCAGACUCCUGCGGGAGGCAGCAGUGGGGGAUAUUGCACAAUGGGCGAAAGCCUGAUGCAGCGACGCCGCGUGGGGGAUGAAGGCCUUCGGGUUGUAAACUUCUUUUGCUCUGAACAAGGCAUGCCAGUGGGUGUGUUGAGUGUAGGGGUUGAUUAGCGCCGGCUAACUACGUG
RNAcentral lists this ribosomal RNA (485 nucleotides) under uncultured bacterium. RNAcentral's name for it is "partial 16S ribosomal RNA". It matches the Rfam family "Bacterial small subunit ribosomal RNA", at positions 28 to 507 of the family's 1533-position model. The record is from RNAcentral.